CUCUGCCCGGGGCUGCCGCUGGGGCUCCCGCCGCCGCCGCCGCCGGGUGCCUUGAGGAGAGCCGGGACGCCGCCGGGCUUGGCGCUGCCGCUGGCGCCGCUGCCCACCAGCACGGCCGCGGGGCAGCUCCGCACCGCCAGCUUCUGCCGGGGGAGAGAAGGGGAGAGAGAAGCGGCAUCGUCACCCGCCGGGCUGCAGCUGGACCCCGGCCCCCCGGCCCCCGCCGCCGCUCUGCCCCCCGGCCGGCCGAGCUCCCGCGGCUGGAGCUGCCCUGCCGGGCUCGGCCCCGCCAGCGCGGAUGUGGGUUCAUUUUCUUGGGCGGUUUUCUCCUUGGAGGGGCAGGCGGCGGGCAGGGAAAGGCUGGGCUUCCCCUACUCGCCCGGGAACGUGGGGUUUCACUCGGGGGGGGGUCAAAGUCUUUUUUUUUUUUUUUUUCUUUUUUUUUUCCCUUUGGCAUCUGUUUAUGCCCGGAACUAAUGAUCCAGGUAUAGGUCUAGAUAAUACUGCAGCUUUAAUUAAUAAUAAAAGGCUUUUAGACGUAAAGAAUGUUAUUUUCAACUUUCUUUCCCACUGGGCUGAAAUUUCCAUUACACGUGCUCGCCUCCCUCCAGCGCUCGCUUACUUCUCGUGGUCUUUCACCCUGACUGACUUUGGAGUCAUAUUUUGGUUUCCCCUUUAACUUGUUUUUUUUUUCCUCACAAACUUCCACUAUUUUCCCAGUGUUUUGGGGUUUGUUUGGUUUGUUGGGUUUUUUCUUUUUUUUUUUUUUUUUCCCCAAGCUAUCUUUUUUCUGUAGCGCCGUUUUAACUGACAGUUCUCUGUUUUUCUUAACAGCUGUACUUUUAAAUUGCUACAGGGUGGCUAUUCUGUCAUCUGUAAUAGGAAUGCAUUGAUCAUGAUCUAUUUACAGUAUCUCUUACAAGACUUGUAUUUGAGUUUUCUGUAGGCACUGUGAAGUUGCCAUAUGGUGAACACCAGUGUCUACGUAAAAUGCUCACUUUUGGAAAGAAAAAAACUUCUAUAAAGUUAUUGCACUUUGAAUCAUCUCAGAAGCUGCUUAGGCAGGUUAGGUGUAUGCGGAAAAAAAUAUCCUGGUUCAAGACUCUUUUGAUGCUUUGAAGUAUUAACCAUUUCAUUUUUACAAGAGUCUGUAUCAAAGCUACUUAAUCCUGCAAAGACUUCUGCCCAUGUUUAACUAUUCGCUGUCCGAUCCUCUCUGCUGCGUUGCCAUUACAUCUAACAUGUCGCCUUUCAGGAAACUUCGCCGCCUGCCUAGGUCUGCUGCUGUACUAUUAAAGUCAUUAAGCAGUUUGUUGUCAACUUCACUUGUUUAAAAUACUCUGUGUGUGUAUAUGUAUAUAUGUGUGUAUAUAUAUAAAGUCACAGACAUGCUUAGUUCUUUCCAGAAUCAAGGCUGGAAACUCUUAAUUCUGGGCAUAAAGUAGAAGCCUUGUACAAAACUACCUGACUUCUAAUACCUUCCUCCUUACCUUUAAACACGUUGCACACUUUAAGGCUGUAAAGCCUUAAUUGUCAAAUAUGUUUGCUCCAGGAACUGUAUGUAGUUUUUGUAUUUAUGUGAAAAAUCAAGCAUGCACUUUAUCAGAGAUACGUACUUCAUAUUUUAAUAUAAAGAAAUCACUUUGUCAGACUUACUCUAGUAAUCAUGACUUCAUAUAAAUUGUUUUAAGUUUUGUUUGGUUUUGCCUUUACCUUUCUUUCUCCAUUAUCCUAACAGUCAUUCCAAGGAAGCAUAGGCAAUAUUUUCCUUAAACCAUGCUGUUGCAUGUCGUGGAUGUCUUGAAGAGGAACUAACUUUUCUUUCAGUCCAGAACUACACCUGUCUGUUAGUUUAAAAGUACUCAAGUGAAAGCCAAGAAGCUCAGGUGCGUUUUGUGGAGGUGGAAAAAGUUGCUCAUGACAAAAUUCUAUGAAAUGAUUAUUUUCUGUUUCGUUGUAGUACGGUUUUCCACUGGUGUUCCUUGUACAGGUAUGUUGCUACAGAUGCAAAAUGACUGCGUGUGGGAGAGCUGAACACUACCUCUCCCCGACUCUACUGAAAACCUCCUCGCGCAGCGCCUUUUUAACCUAUACGCUUUACUUUUCCCUCAGGCGAUUCAGCAACAGAAAAGAUCCAAACAAACAAAACUCCACGAUCCCAUACAAUACUUGGUAGCUGGGUGGAAAAGGCAAGUAAAGAAGCAGAAAGAGAUUAUGACUUUCCUGCCACAAUUCAAUAGCAAGUAAUUGCUUUUUAUCUUGUUCCAAAGGAGGAAACUGUACCAAGAAUUACAAAAGUAGAAAUGCUGGAAACAAACAAACAGACAAGCAACAAAUUUCACUACUCAAACUACCAUCAAUGCAUUUCCACUGUUCUCCUAUAUGCAUUAACAGUGAGUUAGUUUUGCGUGUCUGUACGUGAUGUGUGUGCGUAUCUUCCUAAUAAACUGACAAAACUCUCUAUUCAGAUGUAUGUGACCAAAAAAGCUAAGGAAAUAAGGGUUACUGCUUGUUUCAGUCUGAUCUGAGAUAAAUAUUGAAUGCUUUUAAAAUUGAACACUUGUCUCCUAAUGGAAAACUUUCAUUUUCAUAUAGGUUUUGGGGCUUUUCUAAGUAAAUCCAAGAAAAAAAUGUGUCUCUGUGAUAGGCUUGCAAGGACCGAUCGGCCCAUGCCAGUCAUCUCCGCAGGGAACAAUGCUAUGCUAAAUUUAUUUAAAUAACUGCAAAUUUUAGAAACUAAAUAUGGAAGCAUAUACAAAGGAUCAGGUGCUCAAGAUUAGCUUCCAAAAGAGAAUUACAGAAAAAUUGUCUGUUUGGGAAAAGCAGCUACACCAUCUCUUCUGUGUCUCAUUUAGUAAUUUUCUGAAAAUGUACCUACCAAAACUUCAAAAAUACCCCUUUAAUCAGAUUAACGUUCAUAGGAGACAAGCUAUUAUGCAGUUUUUCUUUGUAAUGACCAUUUUUAUUUUAUACCCCCAUAAAGACAUUGAUAAAGGAGUGUUGGCAGAAACAAAGAUUAUGAUAUGAGAGAUUAAAAAAAUCCUCAACAAAA
Molecule: long non-coding RNA, 3052 nt
Organism: Grus americana (Whooping crane)
Lineage: Eukaryota; Metazoa; Chordata; Aves; Gruiformes; Gruidae
Exons: 2
Source: RefSeq, a predicted model, not a curated record